Molecule: ribosomal RNA, 543 nt
Filed under: uncultured bacterium
Lineage: Bacteria
Description: bacterial SSU rRNA
Rfam family: Bacterial small subunit ribosomal RNA
Source: RNAcentral
AGUCAAUAGAUACCCAGGUAGUCCAUGCCGUAAACGAUGAUUGCUAGGUGUGGGGGGUCUGACCCCUUCCGUGCCGGAGUUAAACACGAUAAGCAAUCCACCUGGGGAGUACGGCCGCAAGGUUGAAACUCAAAGGAAUUGACGGGGGCCCGCACAAGCAGUGGAGUAUGUGGUUUAAAUUCGAAGCAACGCGAAGAACCUUACCAGGUCUUGACAUCCACCGAAUCCUGUAGAGAUACGGGAGUGCCCUUCGGGGAACGGUGAGACAGGUGGUGCAUGGUUGUCGUUAGCUCGUGUCGUGAGAUGUUGGGUUAAGUCCCGCAACGAGCGCAACCCUUGUGAAUAGUUGCUACGAAAGAGCACUCUAUUCAGACCGCCGUUGACAGAACGGAGGAAGGUGGGGAUGACGUCAAAUCAUCAUGCCCCUUAUGACCUGGGCUACACACGUACUACAAUGGCCGUUAACAGAGGGAUGCAAUGCCGCGAGGUGAGCGAACCCCUAAAAACGGUCUCAGUUCAGAUUGCAGGCUGAAACUCGCCUGC